GGAAGGUAUGUGUAUCUGGUGAGCACCACAGGCUUCAACCCUGACUGUUGGUUUUUGUGUAAACGCCAAGAGAGGUUCGAUUCCUCUACCUUCUCGCCA
This 99-nucleotide transfer RNA is filed under the name Aliarcobacter thereius. RNAcentral describes it as "tRNA-Sec". It matches the Rfam family "Selenocysteine transfer RNA". The record is from RNAcentral. Lineage: Bacteria; Pseudomonadati; Campylobacterota; Epsilonproteobacteria; Campylobacterales; Arcobacteraceae.